UGAACAAUGUUCUACUCUAUGAUAA
Molecule: unclassified non-coding RNA, 25 nt
Filed under: Mus musculus (house mouse)
Lineage: Eukaryota; Metazoa; Chordata; Mammalia; Rodentia; Muridae
Description: oocyte_clustered_small_RNA9012
Source: RNAcentral